RNAcentral lists this ribosomal RNA (253 nucleotides) under uncultured bacterium. Its description in RNAcentral is "partial 16S ribosomal RNA". It matches the Rfam family "Bacterial small subunit ribosomal RNA", at positions 524 to 776 of the family's 1533-position model. The record is from RNAcentral.
UACGUAGGGGGCAAGCGUUGUCCGGAAUCAUUGGGCGUAAAGCGCGUGUAGGCGGGUCGGUAAGUCCGCUCUGAAAGCCCGGGGCUCAACCCCGGGAGGCGGGUGGAUACUGUCGACCUCGAGUCCGGAAGAGGCGAGUGGAAUUCCUGGUGUAGCGGUGAAAUGCGCAGAUAUCAGGAGGAACACCAAUGGCGAAGGCAGCUCGCUGGGACGGUACUGACACUGAGGAGCGAAAGCGUGGGUAGCAAACAGG